This 274-nucleotide unclassified non-coding RNA is filed under the name uncultured fungus. Its description in RNAcentral is "sequence contains ITS1". Lineage: Eukaryota; Fungi. The record is from RNAcentral.
UUGGUUCAUUAUUUAUAAUUUGCUGAGGAGAGUUUUAAUCCCACCAGCUUAUCAUAAGUUUUGAUUCACUUUUUUGGAUAUAUUUUUGCUCCCGAAGGAGUAAAAAUAUUUGAAAAACAUUUUGGAGCCAAACUAUAAAUAGUUCAACCCAAUUGUAAUCCCAGUUCGCGGUUCUCAAAAGGUUGAAAGCCCUCCCCAAUGAAAGGGAAAACUUUCUCCCAGUUGUUUUUUUUAGGGUGUGGUAAUGAUCCUUCCGCAGGUUCACCUACGGAAA